RNAcentral lists this ribosomal RNA (280 nucleotides) under uncultured bacterium. Its description in RNAcentral is "partial 16S ribosomal RNA". It matches the Rfam family "Bacterial small subunit ribosomal RNA", at positions 73 to 353 of the family's 1533-position model. The record is from RNAcentral.
ACUUGCUUCUUUGCCGGCGACCGGCGCACGGGUGAGUAACACGUAUCCAACCUGCCCUUUACUCGGGGAUAGCCUUUCGAAAGAAAGAUUAAUACCCGAUGGCAUAAUGAUUCCGCAUGGUUUCAUUAUUAAAGGAUUCCGGUAAAGGAUGGGGAGUGCGUUCCAUUAGGUUGUUGGUGAGGUAACGGCCCACCAAGCCUUCGAUGGAUAGGGGUUCUGAGAGGAAGGUCCCCCACAUUGGAACUGAGACACGGUCCAAACUCCUACGGGAGGCAGCAUG